GGAAUCUUCCACAAUGGGCGCAAGCCUGAUGGAGCAACGCCGCGUGUGUGAUGAAGGGUUUCGGCUCGUAAAACACUGUUGUAAGAGAAGAAUGACAUUGAGAGUAACUGUUCAAUGUGUGACGGUAUCUUACCAGAAAGGAACGGCUAAAUACGUGCUAG
This 161-nucleotide ribosomal RNA is filed under the name uncultured bacterium. Its description in RNAcentral is "partial 16S rRNA". It matches the Rfam family "Bacterial small subunit ribosomal RNA", at positions 358 to 511 of the family's 1533-position model. The record is from RNAcentral.